RNAcentral lists this ribosomal RNA (716 nucleotides) under Priestia megaterium. Its description in RNAcentral is "bacterial SSU rRNA". It matches the Rfam family "Bacterial small subunit ribosomal RNA", at positions 56 to 752 of the family's 1533-position model. The record is from RNAcentral. Lineage: Bacteria; Bacillati; Bacillota; Bacilli; Caryophanales; Bacillaceae.
UGCAAGUCGAGCGAACUGAUUAGAAGCUUGCUUCUAUGAGGGUAGCGGCGGACGGGUGAGUAACACGUGGGCAACCUGCCUGUAAGACUGGGAUAACUUCGGGAAACCGAAGCUAAUACCGGAUAGGAUCUUCUCCUUCAUGGGAGAUGAUUGAAAGAUGGUUUCGGCUAUCACUUACAGAUGGGCCCGCGGCGCAUUAGCUAGUUGGUGAGGUAACGGCUCACCAAGGCAACGAUGCAUAGCCGACCUGAGAGGGUGAUCGGCCACACUGGGACUGAGACACGGCCCAGACUCCUACGGGAGGCAGCAGUAGGGAAUCUUCCGCAAUGGACGAAAGUCUGACGGAGCAACGCCGCGUGAGUGAUGAAGGCUUUCGGGUCGUAAAACUCUGUUGUUAGGGAAGAACAAGUACCAGAGUAACUGCUCGUACCUUGACGGUACCUAACCAGAAAGCCACGGCUAACUACGUGCCAGCAGCCGCGGUAAUACGUAGGUGGCAAGCGUUAUCCGGAAUUAUUGGGCGUAAAGCGCGCGCAGGCGGUUUCUUAAGUAUGAUGUGAAAGCCCACGGCUCAACCGUGGAGGGUCAUUGGAAACUGGGGAACUUGAGUGCAGAAGAGAAAAGCGGAAUUCCACGUGUAGCGCUGAAAUGUGUAGAGAUAUGCAGGAACACCAGUGGCGAAGGCGGCUUUUUUAGUCUGUCACUGACGCUGAGGC